UACUUGUACCGACUGGAUGAGCAGCGAACGGGUGAGUAACGCGUGGGGAAUCUGCCUUUGAGCGGGGGACAACAUUUGGAAACGAAUGCUAAUACCGCAUAAAAACUUUAAACACAAGUUUUAAGUUUGAAAGAUGCAAUUGCAUCACUCAAAGAUGAUCCCGCGUUGUAUUAGCUAGUUGGUGAGGUAAAGGCUCACCAAGGCGAUGAUACAUAGCCGACCUGAGAGGGUGAUCGGCCACAUUGGGACUGAGACACGGCCCAAACUCCUACGGGAGGCAGCAGUAGGGAAUCUUCGGCAAUGGACGAAAGUCUGACCGAGCAACGCCGCGUGAGUGAAGAAGGUUUUCGGAUCGUAAAACUCUGUUGGUAGAGAAGAACGUUGGUGAGAGUGGAAAGCUCAUCAAGUGACGGUAACUACCCAGAAAGGGACGGCUAACUACGUGCCAGCAGCCGCGGUAAUACGUAGGUCCCGAGCGUUGUCCGGAUUUAUUGGGCGUAAAGCGAGCGCAGGUGGUUUAUUAAGUCUGGUGUAAAAGGCAGUGGCUCAACCAUUGUAUGCAUUGGAAACUGGUAGACUUGAGUGCAGGAGAGGAGAGUGGAAUUCCAUGUGGUAGCGGUGGG
Molecule: ribosomal RNA, 623 nt
Filed under: Lactococcus lactis
Lineage: Bacteria; Bacillati; Bacillota; Bacilli; Lactobacillales; Streptococcaceae
Description: bacterial SSU rRNA
Rfam family: Bacterial small subunit ribosomal RNA
Source: RNAcentral